RNAcentral lists this ribosomal RNA (208 nucleotides) under uncultured bacterium. RNAcentral describes it as "partial 16S ribosomal RNA". It matches the Rfam family "Bacterial small subunit ribosomal RNA", at positions 568 to 774 of the family's 1533-position model. The record is from RNAcentral.
CUCGUAGGCGGCCAACUAAGUCAGACGUGAAAUCCCUCGGCUUAACCGGGGAACUGCGUCUGAUACUGGAUGGCUUGAGGUUGGGAGAGGGAUGCGGAAUUCCAGGUGUAGCGGUGAAAUGCGUAGAUAUCUGGAGGUACACCGGUGGCGAAGGCGGCAUCCUGGACCAAUUCUGACGCUGAGUGAGCGAAAGCCAGGGGAGCAAACG